CCUACGGGCGGCAGCAGUGAGGAAUAUUGGUCAAUGGACGAGAGUCUGAACCAGCCAAGUAGCGUGAAGGAUGACUGCCCUAUGGGUUGUAAACUUCUUUUAUAUGGGAAUAAAAUGUUCCACGUGUGGGAUUUUGUAUGUACCAUAUGAAUAAGGAUCGGCUAACUCCGUGCCAGCAGCCGCGGUAAUACGGAGGAUCCGAGCGUUAUCCGGAUUUAUUGGGUUUAAAGGGAGCGUAGGUGGAUUGUUAAGUCAGUUGUGAAAGUUUGCGGCUCAACCGUAAAAUUGCAGUUGAAACUGGCAGUCUUGAGUACAGUAGAGGUGGGCGGAAUUCGUGGUGUAGCGGUGAAAUGCUUAGAUAUCACGAAGAACUCCGAUUGCGAAGGCAGUUCACUGGACUGCAACUGACACUGAGGUUCGAAAGUGUGGGUAUCAAACAGGAUUAGAUACCCCAGUAGUC
RNAcentral lists this ribosomal RNA (460 nucleotides) under uncultured bacterium. RNAcentral describes it as "partial 16S ribosomal RNA". It matches the Rfam family "Bacterial small subunit ribosomal RNA", at positions 338 to 795 of the family's 1533-position model. The record is from RNAcentral.